GUGUAAGGUUUAAAGCAUGGGGGUGUUCUUUCUCUGUUGGGAUAUUUUUGCAGCUUUUUAUUUCACUGGAAUAGACUAGCUGAUAUUGACGUAGUCUCUGUGGGAUUCUUUUGCAACACUUGAGGAAUGAUGCUUUCAUUGAAAGAAUGGAAGUGCCAGCAGUGAGACUAAGUACAUUGCUGGUAGCCACAGCAACAACGAAGCAAAAGCUGGACUCUUAUGAUUGGUAGCUGCACAUCCAUGACUGGAACAAGGAAUGGUCUGAACUUUUCCUUAUCUAGUAAAGAUAACAUCCUGUACAUGCAGCACAAGACUGCAGGUUUCAGCUCCUUAUUGCAGGAUAAAAUAUAAAACAGAGCAGAAUGGGGAAGGAGCAAUAAAAAUAGCACGAAACUAAAACCCAGAAUAGUUCAUCCUUUGAGGCUUCCUGGGUUCCCUGGAUGUGUGAGUGAAUCCCAUUCUUUACAGUGAGGACAGGUGAGGGAUGAGCACUAGUGAAGGAAGCUUCCUUAUCGUGCCUUAUUACUGAGUCUGAGUUUUGAGUUGGAGAGAUCACCUCUUCAAAAACUCAGGCUCAAAAGGUACUUCAUUAGCCUCUGUGCUGAGAUUGCCAGUGAGUGCCAAUUAGUUCCAGGAGGUGUUUGUUGCUGUAAUAGGAAUUUAGAAAUUCCUUCUCUGAUAGGAAUGGUAAUGACUGCAGGAUAACACUGUCAGGGCUAGGCUCACUAGGUCUCAUGUAUAUUGCCUUGGCUGAAUGCUUAGUAAUUUUGUAAAUUGUGGUAAGUCACAGUAUUUGGACUACAUGCAGAUCUCUGUUUCACCUGUGAUGUGUCUGAGUCAGCUUUCUGUAAAUAAUACGUGCUUCCUGAUCAGUCUGUCCUUUGAUUUCUGUAAUCAUCAUUUUGCCUAUUAUCUCAUUGCAACCAUACUGAAUAAACUCUGGACUGUUUUCAGAUUUCUGUAAUUAAUUGCUCUGAUUCUGCAGAGUGUUAUUGAAUGUGUUUAUUUGCUUUAUAUUGAAUUUUACUGAAUUUUUAUAUUAAUGGA
Cygnus olor (mute swan) is the source of this 1047-nucleotide long non-coding RNA. RefSeq lists it as uncharacterized. Lineage: Eukaryota; Metazoa; Chordata; Aves; Anseriformes; Anatidae. The record is from RefSeq and is a predicted model, not a curated record. The transcript is spliced from 4 exons.